Felis catus (domestic cat) is the source of this 103-nucleotide small nuclear RNA. The record is from Rfam. Lineage: Eukaryota; Metazoa; Chordata; Mammalia; Carnivora; Felidae.
GUGCUCACUUCAGCAGCAGAUAUACCAAAAUUGGAAAGUUACGGAGAUUACCAGGGUGCCACGCAAGGAUGACACACAAAUUCAUGAAGUCUUCCAUAUUUUU